Molecule: long non-coding RNA, 1134 nt
Organism: Salvelinus fontinalis (brook trout)
Lineage: Eukaryota; Metazoa; Chordata; Actinopteri; Salmoniformes; Salmonidae
Exons: 4
Source: RefSeq, a predicted model, not a curated record
UCAUAAAACUAUAAAAAUGUGAUAUUAUAUGAUCCAACUCCUAACGGUCCUAUCUUGUCAUUCUUGGAUUUUUGAUUGAUGUUCACACUUUUCUCCACAGAGUGAGGUACUAUCGAAAGAGGUGAUGACCAGCACGGACAUCCUGCAGAGCUCCUCCACAGAGAUCCGAGAUGUGAAGAGCACGCUGCAAGCUCUGCAGAUUGGGUUCCAGACCUUGUUGAGCAUGGUGGGAUACUAGAAAAUGACAAUGUCCCCCGAUGCAAAAACAAAUUCUGUUGUGUUGAAAAGACCUAAUUCGAAACAUGCAUUAACUUUUAGAUGACUUUAGAGUGGGGUGAUAAAGCAACACACAAGAAAUUACAGAAAUAAUAACACUUUUUUGCAUUCACAUUUCUUGCUGUCCACCUGAAAUCACAUGAUGUAUCCAUACCAUAUGCAUUAAACUCAUUGCCUUUCCUUUCGGUCACAGAAAGCAUCAGUGGAAGGUAACCUCUUUGAGACAGAGCCGUUACUCCACCAUGCCUAAUUAUCAGAUACACGUCACCAGCAUGGAGGAACAGUUGGGAAAUCUCACGGCUUACAUGAAGCGUCAGGGACACGAAUUCCAGAUGCUGCUGGACAUCAAGACCAGGCUGGAGAUGGAGAUUGCGGAGUACAGGAGACUACUGGAAGGAGAGGGUAGUGAGCGGUGGAAUGUCCUCCAGCAUGACCACGAUGGGGAAAGUAGUGAACGGCAGGGAUCGUCUGAGUAACAGUGGAAUGUCCUCAUCCACCACAACCACGACCGUGAUCACUAGGAUGGAGGAUAGAGGGGCUAGUCUGGACCUGGAGUGGGAAAACUAUUAGGACUUAAAAAUGUAUGAUAUGCUGUUGGUUUUGUGGCAGUGCAAUAUUUAAAUGUCAUUCAUCUCUUUAUAACUUAUGUGUCUUGUAGUAACAUCGGUGGAUGAUACUCCCCCACAACCAAGACAGUGACCAUGGUGGAUGGGGAAUCAAUGUGCAGUAGCAGCUCCACGGUGGUAUCUGUGAUAAAGGAGGUGGUUGAGAUGGCCUCAUGCCAUACCGAGUCACACACCGAAUGAGGUUCUAGUCAUAGCUGGGGUCAACCCAACUAAAUCAACUAAUAAAGCUAUU